UACGGAGGAGGCAAGCGUUAUCCGGAAUUAUUGGGCGUAAAGCGUCCGCAGGUGGCACCUCAAGUCUGCUGUCAAAGACCGGGGCUUAACCCCAGAAAGGCAGUGGAAACUGAAGUGCUAGAGUGCAGUAGGGGUAGAGGGAAUUCCCGGUGUAGCGGUGAAAUGCGUAGAGAUCGGGAAGAAUAUCGGUGGCGAAAGCGCUCUGCUGGACUGCAACUGACACUCAGGGACGAAAGCUAGGGGAGCGAAUGGG
This 253-nucleotide ribosomal RNA is filed under the name uncultured bacterium. RNAcentral describes it as "partial 16S ribosomal RNA". It matches the Rfam family "Bacterial small subunit ribosomal RNA", at positions 524 to 776 of the family's 1533-position model. The record is from RNAcentral.